UUCCGGUUGAUCCUGCCGGACCUGACUGCUAUCGGAACGGGAUUAAGCCAUGCGAGUUUGCCAAUCAGAGCAUGUUGGUUGGCGGCGAACGGCUCAGUAACACGUAGUCAACCUGCCCUCGGGUCGAGAAUAAUCUCGGGAAACUGAGGCUAAUGAACGAUAGGUCAAGAUUCCUGGAAUGGAUUUUGGUCUAAAUGGCGUGACAGCAUCUUGUUAUGUCCGCCCGAGGAUGGGACUGCGGCCGAUCAGGCUGUUGGUGGGGUAAAGGCCCACCAAACCAGUAACCGGUACGGGCUUUGAGAGAAGGAGCCCGGAGAUGGACACUGAGACAAGGGUCCAGGUCCUACGGGGCGCAGCAGGCGCGAAACCUUCGCAAUGCGCGCAAGCGCGACGAGGUUAUUCCGAGUGAUUUCCGCUGAGGAAAUCUUUUCUUAGAUCUAAAAAGUCUGGGGAAUAAGGGGAGGGCAAGUCUGGUGUCAGCCGCCGCGGUAAUACCAGCUCCUCGAGUGGUCAGGGCGUUUAUUGGGCCUAAAGCAUCCGUAGCCUGCUCGGUAGGUCUCCUGUUAAAUCCAACGGCUCAACCGUCGGCAUGCAGGAGAUACCGCUGGGCUAGGAGGCGGGAGAGGCGGACGGUACUCCGAGGGUAGGGGUAAAAUCCUUUGAUCCCCGGAAGACCACCAGUGGCGAAGGCGGUCCGCCAGAACGCGCUCGACGGUGAGGGAUGAAAGCUGGGGGAGCGAACCGGAUUAGAUACCCGGGUAGUCCCAGCUGUAAACGAUGCGAGCUAGGUGACACGACGCCUUCGGGGCAUCGUGGUGCCGCAGGGAAGCCGUUAAGCUCGCCGCCUGGGGAGUACGGACGCAAGUCUGAAACUUAAAGGAAUUGGCGGGGGAGCACCACAAGGGGUGAAGCCUGCGGUUCAAUUGGAUUCAACGCCGGG
Molecule: ribosomal RNA, 940 nt
Filed under: uncultured crenarchaeote
Lineage: Archaea; Thermoproteati; Thermoproteota
Description: bacterial SSU rRNA
Rfam family: Archaeal small subunit ribosomal RNA
Source: RNAcentral